RNAcentral lists this small RNA (262 nucleotides) under Nomascus leucogenys (northern white-cheeked gibbon). Its description in RNAcentral is "7SK RNA (ENSNLEG00000020259.2)". It matches the Rfam family "7SK RNA", at positions 1 to 250 of the family's 331-position model. From Rfam's summary of the family: 7SK was discovered as an abundant small nuclear RNA in the mid-70s but a possible function has only recently been suggested. Two independent studies have found that 7SK RNA binds the CDK9/cyclin T complex (known as elongation factor P-TEFb). P-TEFb activates transcription by phosphorylating the C-terminal domain of RNA polymerase II. The record is from RNAcentral. Lineage: Eukaryota; Metazoa; Chordata; Mammalia; Primates; Hylobatidae.
UGAUGUGAGGGCAAUCUGGCUGCGGCAUCUGUCACCCCAUUGAUCACCAGGGUUGAUUUGGCUGAUCUGACUGGUUAGGCGGGUGUCCCCUUCCUCCCUCCAUAUGCGUCCCUCCCAAAGCUGCAUGCUCAGUCAAAGAGGAUGACUAUCCCCGAUAGAGGAGGACUAGUCUUCAGUCAAGGGCACUCUCUGGAGAACCAGAGAGUACCUCCACUCCCGUGCUAGAACCUCCAAACAAACUAUCUAUCAUCUAUCUAUCUAU